Long non-coding RNA from Erinaceus europaeus (western European hedgehog), 1805 nucleotides. RefSeq lists it as uncharacterized. The transcript has 2 exons. NCBI's taxonomy places the organism in Eukaryota, Metazoa, Chordata, Mammalia, Eulipotyphla, Erinaceidae. The record is from RefSeq and is a predicted model, not a curated record.
AAAGAAAAAAAAGAUACAGAACUAAAUGGAUGGAACCAGAGGCGAUCAUGCUCAGUGAAGUAAAGAGAAGAUAUCUACCAGAUGGUUUCACUAAACUGUGGAAUAUAGAUAACAUGAACUUGCCAAAAAAUUUAAAAAGUAGCCAAACCAUGACUACUCAAUGACUUUAUGAAAGGGCAGGGCAGAUAGCAUAAUGGUUAUGCAAAGAGACUCUCACGCCUCGGCUCCAGAGGCCCAGGUUCAACCCCCUGCACCACCAUAAGCCAGAGCUGAGCAGUGCUAUGGUAGGAGGAAAAAACUGUGAGAGGUAUGGUGAUUACUGCUUGGGUAACUAUUCUGCUAUCUCCCCAGCCCUACCUCUGAAAUCUUAUAGUGUAAUAAGCCAUAACCACGAAUAGAAAAAAAUAAUAAUAAUAGGUAAUAAAAAUAAUAAAAAUAAAAACAGUGGUCCAGGAGGUGGCGCAGUGGGUAAAGCACUGGAUUCUCAAGCGUGAAGUCCUGAGUUUCAUCCCAAACAGCACAUGUGCCUAAGUGCUAUCUGGCUCUUUCUCCCUCUGCCUAUCGUUCCCAUGAAUAAAUAAACAAAUUCUUAAAAUAAAUAAAUAAAUAAAAACAAAAAAAAGGUAAGUGUACUGGAUUUGGUAAGCAACAAAACUGAAGAAUUUUUAAAAGAUUUUAUUUAUUUAUUAAUGAGAAAAAUAGGAGGAAAGGAAGAGAAAGAACCAGUUAUUACUGAGGGGCCCAGGACUGAACUCAGGACCUCAUGCUUGAGAAUCCAGUGCUUUAUCUACUGCACCACCUCCCAAACCACAAUAAUAAUAUUUUCUUGAAGUGUAUUUUAAAAGUACCAUGUACUGGGGUUGAGCUUAGCACAGUGGGCUAAUCGCACAUGGCGCAGCACAAGACCCUGCGUAAGGAUCCCGGAUCCAGCCCCUGGCUCCCCACCUGUGGGGGCGUCACUUCAACAACAACAUCAACAACAACAACAAUAAUAAUAAUAACAACCACAAAAAAACGAUUUAAAAAAAAUAGUCCAGGGUGGAGGUGUAGAUAGUAUACUGGCUAUGCAGAGUCCCAUUCCUGAGGAUCGAUCCAUAGUCCCAGGUUCGAUCCUCCACACAUCACCAUAAAUCAGAGCUGAGCAGUGUUCUGGUUAAAAAAAAAAAAAAAAAAAAAAAGGAGGAGGAGGAGGAAGAGAAGAAAAAGAAGAGAAAGAAAGAAAGAUAAAGAAAGAAAAAAAGAAAGACGGGCCAGGUGGUGGUGCACCUGAUUGAGCGCACAUGUUACACUAUGCAAGGACCCAGGUUCAAGCCCCUGGUCCCCAACUGCAUAGAGAAAGCUUCAUAAGUGGUGAAGCACGGCUGCAGUUGUCUCUCUGCCUCCCUAUCUAUCUCCACCUUCCCUCUUGAUUUCUGACUGACUCUAUCCAAUAAAUACAGAUAAUAAAAAAAAAAUUUUAAGAAACUUUAAAAAAAAGAUAUUCGGGAGUCGGGCGGUAGCGCAGCGGGUUAAGCGCACAUGGCGCGGGGCGCAAGGACCUGCAUAAGGAUCCCCGUUCCAGCCCCCAGCUCCCCACCUGCAGGGGAGUCGCUUCACAAGCGGUGAAGCAGGUCUGCAGGUGUCUUUCUCUCCUCCUCUCUAUCUUCCCCUCUUCUCUCUAUAUCUCUGUCCUGUCCAACAACAACGACAGCAAUAAAAACAAUAAUAAUAACUACAACAAUGAUAAAACAAGCAGGGCAACAAAAGGGGGAAAAAAUAGCCUCCAGGAGCAGUGGAUUCAUGGUGCAGGUACUGAGCCCCAGCAA